RNAcentral lists this ribosomal RNA (425 nucleotides) under uncultured bacterium. Its description in RNAcentral is "bacterial SSU rRNA". It matches the Rfam family "Bacterial small subunit ribosomal RNA", at positions 354 to 796 of the family's 1533-position model. The record is from RNAcentral.
GUUAGGAAUAUUGGACAAUGGACGCAAGUCUGAUCCAGCCAUGCCGCGUGAGUGAUGAAGGCCUUCGGGUUGUAAAGCUCUUUAGCCGAUGAUUAUAAUGACUGUAGUCGGAAAAUAAGCCCCGGCUAACUUCGUGCCAGCAGCCGCGGUAAUACGAAGGGGGCGAGCGUUAUUCGGAAUCACUGGGCGUAAAGCGUGCGUAGGCGGUUUUGUAAGUUGGGAGUGAAAGCCCAGGGCUCAACCCUGGAAUUGCUCUCAAAACUACAAGACUUGAAUUCGGGAGAGGAUAGCGGAAUUGUCAGUGUAGCAGUGAAAUGCGUAGAUAUUGACAGGAACACCAGUGGCGUAAGCGGCUAUCUGGACCGACAUUGACGCUGAGGCACGAAAGCGUGGGGAUCAAACAGGAUUAGAUACCCGAGUAGUCC